Long non-coding RNA from Gorilla gorilla gorilla (western lowland gorilla), 2933 nucleotides. RefSeq lists it as uncharacterized. Lineage: Eukaryota; Metazoa; Chordata; Mammalia; Primates; Hominidae. The transcript has 4 exons. The record is from RefSeq and is a predicted model, not a curated record.
GUUUGAGGGCCUGGAGAGCUAAGUGUCUAAUUCUGCCUGGGAAGGCUUCAUGGAAGAGGUGACUUUUGAGUGGGGUCUGAAAGCCAAGUCUAUAUGUGAAAACGUUUUGCUUAUUUUUGCUUUCUUCAUCCCUUUCUCUGUCUCUUCUAUUUUCCAGCAUCACACACUGUCCACCUCCUCUAGGCAUCUUUCCCAGAUGAAUUAAUUCUAUUAAAUUCUCAUUUCCAGCAAGACUCUCAUCCACUCCUGUACUGCUACCCCAUCUUCACAAGGCCAGGGUCUGGCUCUGUAACCCAGGCUUGAAUGCAGUGGCAUGAUGGGUGCAAUCUUAUUACCUAUUACUGGUCUCUUCAGGUUUUCUUUUUGGCUCAAUCUUGAGAUGGAGGCUCGUUUUGUUGCCCAGGCUGGAGUGCAGUGGCUAUUCACAGGCACGAUCAUCACACACUGUAGCCUUGAACUCCUGGCCUCAAGCGAUUUUCCUGUCUCAGCCUACAAAGUUGCUGGAACUCUAGAUGGAGUCUCUCUCUGUUGCCCAGGCUAGAGUGCAGUGGAACGAUCUUGGCUCACUGCAACCUCUGCCUCCCGGGUUCAAGCAAUUCUCCUGCCUCAGCCUCCUGAGUACCUGGGAUUACAUACGUGCACCAUCACGUCCAGCUAAUUUUUGUAUUUUUAGUACAGAUGGGGUUUCACCAUGUUGGCCAGGCUGGUCUGAACUCCAGACCUCAAGUGAUCCACAUGCCCUGGCCUCCCAAAGUGCUGGAAUUACAGGUGUGAACCACCAUGCCCAACCUAGCCAGCCUGAUUUUUUAAUAUUUGUUGGGAUUUAUUUUGUGGCCUAACAUAUGCUCUAUCUUGGAAAAUGUUCCACGCAUAUACAUUAACUUUAAUCUUCACAAUGGUUCUGUGAGGUAGACAUUAUUAUCCCUAUUUUAUGGGAUAAGAAAACUGAGGCUCAGGAAGGCAGAGUAACUUGCCUAAGGUCACACAGCAUAAGUAGCAAAGCUGAGUUUUGAGCCUGCGUUGCCUGACUCCAAAGUCUGGAUCCUUCCCAUGAGAAUGUCUGCCUCUCACAUUCAACUCCAAUACACACAUCUAAGACUAGUGCAUAAGCUGAUAGCUGUUAACAUUUUCCCCCACAGAAAAUGCAGCUGAACCAAGCCUGCCUAUCUUGUCUAUGAGCAGCUGAUUCUUUGAAUCUAAAGAAUUGAUACAGGACUUGAUACAUGUGGAAUAACAGAAAGAACCUGGACCUUGGAGUGAGACAGGCUUAGACUUGAGUUCUGGCUACACACUUGGCUGUGCCAACUCAAGGCAGCUACCUUGACAUUAUAAGGCUGAUUUUCUUCAACUGUAAAAUGUCGAUGUAGGAUUACAUGAUAACACAUGCGAAGCCUCUGGUAGAACACUCAGGGCAGCACUGCUCACGCUUCUUAGUUGCCUUCCCCUGAUCUGGAGUGUCAAUUAAUCUUGGUUUGAGUUCCUCUUGCCCACCAGUGCACUUUGGUCCCCCAUUCAGUCAUGUAGCAAGGGGCUAUUCCUCCAGCUGUUCUUGAGUAAGCAUGGCACCUCACAUUCAAAUAGAAUGGUUACUAAUAGUCAUCCAAGUUAUUGAGAAAAAUAUUGACCACAAUGUACCACUCUCCCACUCCACUUUUUCCUAAUUAAUCUUUCCUUUGGGACUCAGCUAAGUUGUUCAUUCUGCUGGGAGUGCUCCACCCACCCAGAGCUGCCCCGAGUGCCUGCCUUGUGUUCUCUGCAUCCCCUCACCACCAUCGUUUGUGACAAGCAGCUGAGGUGUCUGUAACCCGAAUCAAUACUGGAUCAGCUCCUUGAAGAUAGAGAUUGGGUCACACAAUUAUCCUUAUAUCUGAGAGCACAGCACCUGCCUAGUACAUAGCUGGCAUUCAGAAAAUAUUAGCUACACAAAAAUGUGUUUAAGUAUUAUAACCUUGAGUUGAUGAAACUCUGAGGCAAGAAAUAGUAUUUAUAGAGGAUUUCAUGAAAAAUGUACAAUUUAUCGAUCUCAUCAGUUCUCAGAUUUGGCUAUAUAUUAAAAUCCCCUGGAAACAUAGAAAAAAUCAGAAUCUCUGGUUGGUGGAGUCCUGUGUUGGUAUUUUGCAAAAGUUCCCAGGACUUCCUAAUGUGCAGCUAGGGUUGGAAACCACUGCUCCAGAAAAUCCACAUUUUACCACUGAAGAACUGCCUGCAUAUCCUGUACCAUUUAGGCCCUGCACUAAAGUGCCUUUAUUGAAUUAUACUUGGGCUUUGUGUCCAAUUUGACUGAACCUAGGAUAUAACUGUGUGACUCUUGUCACCGGAGAUAUGGGGAGAUGUUGUUGUCAAUGGAUCCUCUUUAUGAAGACACACCAGAGAGAUGCCUAUUGGGCAUCAGCACCAAAAAAAGGCCAUGAUCCUCCUGAGCAACCAGUUCAUGUUUGUCUUACGGAUUCCAGGAAUCAUUUAAUUAACACUAUUUUCCAGGUUUGUAGUAGCUGCUGCAAAGCUCAAGAUCAAAGCCUUUAUCACCUACAAAGAAUUUUGUGGUGUGUGUGUUACAUAUUGACUUGGUUCUGCAUUAUUUUUUGUCUUUUUCUCUUCACCCUCUGAUAUGGUUUAGGUCUGUGUCCCUACCCAAAUCUCAUGUCAAAUUAUAAUUCUCAAUGUUGGAGGAGGGGCCUGGUGGGAGGUGAUUGGAUCAUGGGGGCAGACAUCCCCCUUGCUGUUCUCUCAAUAAUGAGUUUUUAUGAGAUCUGGUCGUUUGAAAGUGUGUAGCACCUCCUCCUUUGCUCUCUUGUUCCUGCUGGCCAUGUGAAGAUGUGCCUGCUUCCUCUUUGCCUUCCGCCAUGAUUGUAAGUUUUCUGAGGCCUCUCCAGAAGCAGAAGCCUGUAUAGCCCACAGAACUAUGAGUCAAUUAAACCUCUUUUCUUUAUAAA